GUGUGUGUGUGUGACACUGGUCUGUCUGUCUGUCAGUGGGGGGUGUGUGUGUGUGUGUGACACUGGUCUGUCUGUCUGUCAGUGGGGUGUGUGUGUGUGACACUGGUCUGUCUGCACACUCAGACCCUCAGUACAGAGGACAGAUAGCCGCGGCUCUGGUGCGAUUUUACACGCGGGAUUCCCGAUGUCGCAGGUCUCGCAGGGCUGGAAGACUCGCGAACGACACGGCGCCCUUUAACUGCGCGACUCGUGUCAUUUUGCUCCAUCCCAGUGAGAGCUGUGCAGGGCGUGCGACAACCCCGCCCGAGCGUCUCGCUCUGCGCGAGCAGCUGGGCAGCUUCCUUUGUCUGGCGCGAGCCGGCUCGCCGGUCCUCGCGCACCCGACGGCACCACGCCCAGGCGAGCCCACAGACCCGCCCGGUCCCGCUCGGUCCAGCCCGGCGCCUCUGAGACCCCCCCGAACCCCGCCUCGCCGCUGGCCCCGGCGGUACUCACCAGCUUCAUGGCCGCGGCCAUGUCGUCGUACCGCUCCGCCUGCUCCGCGAGCCGGGCUCUCUGCACGAGCUGCUCUCGGUCCACCAUGGCUGUUGGGUCGCGCUCACGCCGCGGGACAAGGCAGGGCUGCCGCACGCGCUGAUCCUAGCAGGCUGCGCUCUGCGCGAGAGCUUCCGGCGCCUCCGGCCGCGGCGGGUCGAGGUUCGGGGAUCCGGCUGGCUGACGGAAGCGAAGGCGGGUCGGGACCGCUCUGCGCCUCUCCGGGGCUCAAGCGCUGGACGACUCGAGACUAACGGGGAAACCGUUAUAUCGCGCCCGCCCUGCCUCUCUCUCACUCCCAGUGCAAGCCUGCCUCUGCCUCGCGCUCGCUCUCGCGCUCCCUGCUCGCCGUCUCGCGCUGCUGCUGCUGCUGCUACUGCUGCUGCUUCCCACGGUGCCUCGCGCACUUUGCCGCAGUCGCGCAGGCGCACUCAAGUCCCCCUCGAGUGCAGGGGGGCAGAGGGAAGGCGGCGGGGACGAGGGGGGGGGG
RNAcentral lists this long non-coding RNA (1024 nucleotides) under Lepisosteus oculatus (spotted gar). RNAcentral's name for it is "lncRNA (ENSLOCG00000021606.1)". Lineage: Eukaryota; Metazoa; Chordata; Actinopteri; Semionotiformes; Lepisosteidae. The record is from RNAcentral.